This 253-nucleotide ribosomal RNA is filed under the name uncultured bacterium. RNAcentral's name for it is "partial 16S ribosomal RNA". It matches the Rfam family "Bacterial small subunit ribosomal RNA", at positions 524 to 776 of the family's 1533-position model. The record is from RNAcentral.
UACAGAGGGUGCAAGCGUUAAUCGGAUUUACUGGGCGUAAAGCGUGUGUAGGUGGUUGGGAAAGUCAAUUGUGAAAGCCCCGGGCUCAACUCGGGAACUGCUUUUGAUACUGUCUGACUAGAAUUCGGUAGAGGGAGGCGGAACUCCAGGUGUAGCGGUGAAAUGCGUAGAUAUCUGGAAGAACACCAAUGGCGAAGGCAACCUCCUGGGCCUGAAUUGACACUGAGACACGAAAGCGUGGGGAUCAAACAGG